CGAACGGGUGAGUAACGCGUGAGUAACCUGCCCUGGAGUGGGGGACAACAGUUGGAAACGACUGCUAAUACCGCAUAAGCCCACGGAUCCGCAUGGAUCUGCGGGAAAAGGAUUUAUUCGCUUCAGGAUGGACUCGCGUCCAAUUAGCUAGUUGGUGAGGUAACGGCCCACCAAGGCGACGAUUGGUAGCCGGACUGAGAGGUUGAACGGCCACAUUGGGACUGAGACACGGCCCAG
Molecule: ribosomal RNA, 237 nt
Filed under: uncultured bacterium
Lineage: Bacteria
Description: partial 16S ribosomal RNA
Rfam family: Bacterial small subunit ribosomal RNA
Source: RNAcentral